CUCCUGGUGGCCAAGCUGGCUAAGGCGCGAGACUGUAAAUCUUGAGAUCGGGUGUUCGACUCACCCCCAGGAGA
This 74-nucleotide transfer RNA is filed under the name Blastobotrys adeninivorans. RNAcentral describes it as "tRNA Tyr (GTA) score". It matches the Rfam family "tRNA". Rfam says of the family: Transfer RNA (tRNA) molecules are approximately 80 nucleotides in length. Their secondary structure includes four short double-helical elements and three loops (D, anti-codon, and T loops). Lineage: Eukaryota; Fungi; Ascomycota; Dipodascomycetes; Dipodascales; Trichomonascaceae. The record is from RNAcentral.